Molecule: transfer RNA, 72 nt
Filed under: Scopelogadus mizolepis
Lineage: Eukaryota; Metazoa; Chordata; Actinopteri; Beryciformes; Melamphaidae
Also listed under: 1 other name
Description: tRNA-Val
Rfam family: tRNA
About the family: Transfer RNA (tRNA) molecules are approximately 80 nucleotides in length. Their secondary structure includes four short double-helical elements and three loops (D, anti-codon, and T loops). Further hydrogen bonds mediate the characteristic L-shaped molecular structure. tRNAs have two regions of fundamental functional importance: the anti-codon, which is responsible for specific mRNA codon recognition, and the 3' end, to which the tRNAs corresponding amino acid is attached (by aminoacyl-tRNA synthetases). tRNAs cope with the degeneracy of the genetic code in two manners: having more than one tRNA (with a specific anti-codon) for a particular amino acid; and 'wobble' base-pairing, i.e. permitting non-standard base-pairing at the 3rd anti-codon position.
Source: RNAcentral
CAGAGUAUAGCUAAACAAGGAAAGCACCUCCCUUACACCGAGAAGACCUCCGUGCAAAUCGGAUUACUCUGA